CCUACGGGGGGCUGCAGUGGGGAAUAUUGGACAAUGGGGGGAACCCUGAUCCAGCCAUGCCGCGUGUGUGAAGAAGGCCCUCGGGUUGUAAAGCACUUUCAGUGAGGAAGAACGCCUGGUGGUUAAUACCCAUCAGGAAAGACAUCACUCACAGAAGAAGCACCGGCUAACUCCGUGCCAGCAGCCGCGGUAAUACGGAGGGUGCGAGCGUUAAUCGGAAUUACUGGGCGUAAAGCGCGCGUAGGUGGCUUGAUAAGCCGGUUGUGAAAGCCCCGGGCUCAACCUGGGAACGGCAUCCGGAAAUGGCAAGCUAGAGUGCAGGAGAGGAAGGGAGAAGUCCCGGUGUAGCGGUGAAAUGCGUAGAGAUCGGGAGGAAUACCAGUGGCGAAGGCGGCCUUCUGGACUGACACUGACACUGAGGUGCGAAAGCGUGGGUAGCAAACAGGAUUAGAUACCCUAGUAGUC
RNAcentral lists this ribosomal RNA (465 nucleotides) under Vreelandella stevensii. RNAcentral's name for it is "partial 16S ribosomal RNA". It matches the Rfam family "Bacterial small subunit ribosomal RNA", at positions 338 to 795 of the family's 1533-position model. The record is from RNAcentral. Lineage: Bacteria; Pseudomonadati; Pseudomonadota; Gammaproteobacteria; Oceanospirillales; Halomonadaceae.